This 31-nucleotide non-coding RNA is filed under the name Mus musculus (house mouse). The record is from RNAcentral. Lineage: Eukaryota; Metazoa; Chordata; Mammalia; Rodentia; Muridae.
UCACUGUGUUAAUUCCCUGGAAGGGGCCAAG